This is an RNA transcript of Tripterygium wilfordii, 2837 nucleotides long. It is a transcript of the gene named zinc finger BED domain-containing protein RICESLEEPER 2-like, with no coding region annotated. The transcript is spliced from 4 exons. NCBI's taxonomy places the organism in Eukaryota, Viridiplantae, Streptophyta, Magnoliopsida, Celastrales, Celastraceae. The record is from RefSeq and is a predicted model, not a curated record.
CCAUGGGCUCUGGCCUUGUAAGGCCAAUUGCUCCUAAUCUCCUAUACGAAAAAAAUUCUAGCAGAGAGAACGAGAGUUGAGAGAGCAAAUCGAAGUUCGCAAUCGCCAUGUAUAUUGAAUGAGAGCAAAGGAACCUCUCUCGUCUUCUCUGAUCUGUUUUCUUCGACUGCACGCCAAUUGCUUGAGCUCUUAUUUCUCGGCCUUUUAUCAGGAUGGAAGUUGAUGGUGUGAUUACCCCAGAAGAACAGCCCGUGGGUGUGACUAUGGAUUUGGAGCAAGAGCAAGAACAACAAGAGCAUGAGGAAGACGAAGUGGAAAAUGAAGAUCAGGAGGGAGUUGAAGAGGGAGUUGAAGAGGGAGAUGGGGGAGGAGAAAACGAAAACGAAGAAAGUUUAGAGAUUGAUAAGAAAAGAAAGAGAAGGAGAUCCGCGGUUUGGGAUGAGUUCGAUGAAGUAAAAGGAACAAACAAAAUGCAAUGCAAACAUUGCAAGGCACAACUUCAAAUCAGUGGUGGCAUGACAUCUCAUUUCAGGAGACACUUAAAGGGAUGUGCAAGAAGGAUGACAAAUCAAAAGUCUCAAAAGAUAUCGGGUUUCCGCUCGGGUAAAAUCACUAGUGAGACAUCUCCUCAUUCUACUUUUAUAUAUGAUUAUAAGAAGGUCAGAGAUAGUAUUGCACAUUUUAUUCUCAUGCAUGAGCAUCCAUUCUCUAUAGUGGAGCAAGAGGGAUUUAAUCUUAUCAUGAAGAAUAGUUCUCAUGAGUAUAUACCAUAUACUCGUAUCACUGCGCAAAGUGAUUGCAUGGAAGAGUAUGAUAAAGAAAAAAAGAAGUUAAAGUCAUUACUAAAAAAUGUCAACAAAUAGAAUACAUGGUUGUUACUGGGCACUUUAUUGAUGCUAAUUGGAAAUUGCAGAAAAGAGUACUUAACUUUGUGGAUAUACCACCUCCACGAGAUGGUGUUGAUAUUGCUGAUGCUUUCUUCAAAUGCAUGACUGAGUGGGGAAUUGAAAAUAAAGUUUAUUCUUUGUCUGUUGAUAAUGCUUCUUAUAAUGAUGUGGCAAUUAGAACUUUGAAGAACACAUUUCUUAGAAAUAAGAAAUUGAUACUUGAUGGACAGUUGUUUCAUGUUCGUUGCUGUGCAUACAUUCUGAAUCUUUUAGUUCAAGAUGGAAUUGCUGCCAUUGAUGAUGUGAUUUACAAUGUGAGGGAGAGUGUCAAAUGUUUGAAAAAUUCUGAAGCACGAUUUUUGAAGUUCACUGAAAUAGUUAAGCAAUUGCAACUACCUGCUAGGAAGCUGAUUUUGGAUGUUCCAACACGGUGGAACUCUACUUUUGAGAUGUUGUCACUUGCUUUGAAGUUUAAGGAUGCAUUUUUUAUUUUUAAAGAAAGGGAACCUCUUUAUCAUAAUUUACCAACAUAGGAAGAAUGGGAGAGAGUAGAGAAUGUAUGUCAAAUCUUAUCUGUGUUCAACACAAUCACUAAUCUCAUAUCGGGAAGUGACUACCCAACUUCCAAUUUAUUUCUUUCUGAGAUGUAUCGAGUGAAAGAAAUUUUACAAAAGAGAGCAAUGGAUAACAACAUAUACAUCAAAGCUAUGGUUGGGAAAAUGAAUGCGAAGUUUGAGAAGUAUUGGGGUGAGUGCAAUUUAUUGAUUUCGAUUGCUGCUGUGUUAGAUCCACAGUGUAAAAUGAAGUUGAUUGAAUUUUGUUUUCCAUUGAUUUAUGAAAAGUUCGAAGUGAUAUACAAUAUUGAGAAGGUCCGUGGAGCUUUAUAUGAAAUGUAUGAGCAGUAUGCAGCUAAUUUUGCCUCAACCAACGAGGAAGGUAGUAGUCAGAGAUCAUCUAAAUCCCAGGGAGAUGAUGUUGGUUCUAGCUCUACAGUUGAUAUUAAUUCUGGAUGGUCCAAAUUUGAUGAGUUUGUAGACAUGACUGAAAAUGCUCCCCCUACAAAAUCUGAUUUGGAUGUUUACCUAGGAGAAGUUGUUUAUAGAUGUUCUCAAGAAGAAAGAAGAAAAUGGAAUGCUUUAGGUUGGUGGAGGGUAAAUAGCCUAAAGUAUCGUAUUUUGUCAAAAAUGGCUUCAGAUGUUCUAGCUAUUCCCAUCACAACAGUAGCUUCAGAGGCUACAUUCAGUGCAGGUAGUAGAGUUAUCGACACAUAUCGAGCUAAUUUAGCACCAAAAACUGUUGAAGGUUUGAUGUGUGGAGGUGAUUGGAUACGAAAUCUUCAUGGGUUAAAGAAGAAAUCGCGCAAGAAAGAAGAAAAUGAUGAAGAGUUUGUUCUCAAUGUUCCAUAAAAGUUAGGUGAGUGUAAUACUAUUAGAUUAUGUUCAAUAUUUACAAAUUUUGAUUCAGACAUAAAAGCAUUUUGUCAUGCAUUGAAAGUUAGUUUCUAAACACAAGUAUAUCUAUGUCUUAAUUUCUAAACACAAGUAUAUCUAUGUUCUUUGUUAGUUUCUUAUUUACCCAAAUACUAUUGAUUUUCCCCUUUUCUUGCCUUCGACUAUCUGAUCUCAAGUCAUCAAUUCAAUAUGAUAGUGUUUGCAAACUAGGGUGCAACCAUGCAGCCAUGGGAGAGGGUAGAGAAUGGGAGAGGUGGUGUUUGAUUUACUGAUUUCCUUUUCCCAAAUAGAAUUUCCAUCACAGGUUGGAGUUUCGGAAGUUAUAGAGUUCAUUUCAAAACAUGGAGAUUCAAGCUGCUUACAAUCAAGAAGGAUUGUUGGAGUUUCAUUACAGAUUUUGUUAUUGUUUAUGAAGCAUUUGACUCGUAUAUUAUUUUGGAGUUUACUUACGGAUUUUAUGUAAUGUUGGUUGCUAUUGUAGUAAUUUUACUUGUAUUAA